RNAcentral lists this transfer RNA (72 nucleotides) under Candidatus Magasanikiibacteriota bacterium. RNAcentral describes it as "tRNA-Cys". It matches the Rfam family "tRNA". From Rfam's summary of the family: Transfer RNA (tRNA) molecules are approximately 80 nucleotides in length. Their secondary structure includes four short double-helical elements and three loops (D, anti-codon, and T loops). Further hydrogen bonds mediate the characteristic L-shaped molecular structure. tRNAs have two regions of fundamental functional importance: the anti-codon, which is responsible for specific mRNA codon recognition, and the 3' end, to which the tRNAs corresponding amino acid is attached (by aminoacyl-tRNA synthetases). tRNAs cope with the degeneracy of the genetic code in two manners: having more than one tRNA (with a specific anti-codon) for a particular amino acid; and 'wobble' base-pairing, i.e. permitting non-standard base-pairing at the 3rd anti-codon position. The record is from RNAcentral. Lineage: Bacteria; Candidatus Magasanikiibacteriota. RNAcentral also lists the same sequence under 1 other name.
GGUACGGUAGCCAAGUGGUAAGGCCGCGGUUUGCAAAACCGUUAUGCGUGGGUUCGAUUCCCUCCCGUACCU